GCCCAGACUCCUACGGGAGGCAGCAGUGGGGAAUAUUGCACAAUGGGGGAAACCCUGAUGCAACGACGCCGCGUGAGCGAUGAAGUAUUUCGGUAUGUAAAGCUCUAUCAGCAGGGAAGAAGAUGACGGUACCUGACUAAGAAGCCCUGGCUAACUACGUGCCAGCAGCCGCGGUAAUACGUAGGGGGCAAGCGUUAUCCGGAUUUACUGGGUGUAAAGGGAGCGUAGACGGCGAUGCAAGCCAGAUGUGAAAGCCCGGGGCUCAACCCCGGGACUGCAUUUGGAACUGUGUGGCUGGAGUGUCGGAGAGGCAGGCGGAAUUCCUAGUGUAGCGGUGAAAUGCGUAGAUAUUAGGAGGAACACCGGUGGCGAAGGCGGCCUGCUGGACUGCAACUGACGUUGAGGCCCGAAAGCGUGGGGAGCAAACAGGAUUAGAUACCCGGGUAAA
Molecule: ribosomal RNA, 448 nt
Filed under: uncultured bacterium
Lineage: Bacteria
Description: bacterial SSU rRNA
Rfam family: Bacterial small subunit ribosomal RNA
Source: RNAcentral